GAUGAACGCUGGCGGCGUGCCUAAUACAUGCAAGUCGAGCGAACGGACGAGAAGCUUGCUUCUCUGAUGUUAGCGGCGGACGGGUGAGUAACACGUGGAUAACCGACCUAUAAGACUGGGAUAACUUCGGGAAACCGGAGCUAAUACCGGAUAAUAUUUUGAACCGCAUGGUUCAAAAGUAAAAGACGGUCUUGCUGUCACUUAUAGAUGGAUCCGCGCUGCAUUAGCUAGUUGGUAAGGUAACGGCUUACCAAGGCAACGAUGCAUAGCCGACCUGAGAGCGUGAUCGGCCACACUGGAACCGAGACCCGGUCCAGACUCCCACGGGAUGCAGCAGUAGGGAAUCUUCCGCAAUGGGCGAAAGCCUGACGGAGCAACGCCGCGUGAGUGAUGAAGGUCUUCGGAUCGUAAAACUCUGUUAUUAGGGAAGAACAUAUGUGUAAGUAACUGUGCACAUCUUGACGGUACCUAAUCAGAAAGCCACGGCUAACUACGUG
RNAcentral lists this ribosomal RNA (497 nucleotides) under uncultured bacterium. RNAcentral describes it as "partial 16S ribosomal RNA". It matches the Rfam family "Bacterial small subunit ribosomal RNA", at positions 28 to 507 of the family's 1533-position model. The record is from RNAcentral.